GAUGAACGCUGGCGGCGUGCCUAAUACAUGCAAGUCGAGCGAACGGACGAGAAGCUUGCUUCUCUGAUGUUAACGGCGGACGGGUGAGUAACACGUGGAUAACCUACCUAUAAGACUGGGAUAACUUCGGGAAACCGGAGCUAAUACCGGAUGAUAUUUUGAACCGCAUGGUUCAAAAGUGAAAGACGGUCUUGCUGUCACUUAUAGAUGGAUCCGCGCUGCAUUAGCUAGUUGGUAAGGUAACGGCUUACCAAGGCAACGAUGCAUAGCCGACCUGAGAGGGUGAUCGGCCACACUGGAACUGAGACACGGUCCAGACUCCUACGGGAGGUAGCAGUAGGGAAUCUUCCGCAAUGGGCGAAAGCCUGACGGAGCAACGCCGCGUGAGUGAUGAAGGUCUUCGGAUCGUAAAACUCUGUUAUUAGGGAAGAACAUAUGUGUAAGUAACUGUGCACAUCUUGACGGUACCUAAUCAGAAAGCCACGGCUAACUACGUG
RNAcentral lists this ribosomal RNA (497 nucleotides) under uncultured bacterium. Its description in RNAcentral is "partial 16S ribosomal RNA". It matches the Rfam family "Bacterial small subunit ribosomal RNA", at positions 28 to 507 of the family's 1533-position model. The record is from RNAcentral.